CGGGAUGUAAACUUCGGAAGAACGGGAAGAAUAAGUAAGAGUUAAUAUCUCUUACGAUGACGGUACUGUUUGUAAGCUCCGGCUAACUCCGUGCCAGCAGCCGCGGUAAUACGGGGGGAGCAAGCGUUGUUCGGAUUUACUGGGCGUAAAGGGCGCGUAGGCGGCCACCGCAAGUCGACUGUGAAAUCUCCGGGCUUAACCCGGAAAGGUCAGCCGAUACUGCGGGGCUAGAGUGCAGAAGGGGCAACUGGAAUUCUCGGUGUAGCGGUGAAAUGCGUAGAUAUCGAGAGGAACACCUGCGGCGAAGGCGGGUUGCUGGGCUGACACUGACGCUGAGGCGCGAAAGCUAGGGGAGCGAACGGGAUUAGAUACCCCGGUAGUCCUAGCCUUAAACGAUGAAUGCUUGGUGUCUGGGGUUUUAUAGUCCCCGGGUGCCGUCGCUAACGCUUUAAGCAUUCCGCCUGGGGAGUACGGUCGCAAGACUG
RNAcentral lists this ribosomal RNA (485 nucleotides) under uncultured Acidobacteriota bacterium. Its description in RNAcentral is "bacterial SSU rRNA". It matches the Rfam family "Bacterial small subunit ribosomal RNA", at positions 419 to 896 of the family's 1533-position model. Lineage: Bacteria; Pseudomonadati; Acidobacteriota. The record is from RNAcentral.